GAAUUCACUAGUGAUUCAGGCCUAACACAUGCAAGUCGAGCGGAUGACGGGAGCUUGCUCCUGGAUUCAGCGGCGGACGGGUGAGUAAUGCCUAGGAAUCUGCCUGGUAGUGGGGGACAACGUUUCGAAAGGAACGCUAAUACCGCAUACGUCCUACGGGAGAAAGCAGGGGACCUUCGGGCCUUGCGCUAUCAGAUGAGCCUAGGUCGGAUUAGCUUGUUGGUGAGGUAAUGGCUCACCAAGGCGACGAUCCGUAACUGGUCUGAGAGGAUGACCAGCCACACUGGAACUGAGACACGGUCCAGACUCCUACGGGAGGCAGCAGUGGGGAAUAUUGCACAAUGGGCGCAAGCCUGAUGCAGCCAAGGGGCGUGUAUGAAGAAGGCCUUCGGGUGUAAACUAAAUGGGCGGGGAGGAAGGGAGUAAAGUUAAUA
This 434-nucleotide ribosomal RNA is filed under the name uncultured bacterium. RNAcentral describes it as "bacterial SSU rRNA". It matches the Rfam family "Bacterial small subunit ribosomal RNA", at positions 39 to 465 of the family's 1533-position model. The record is from RNAcentral.